This 497-nucleotide ribosomal RNA is filed under the name uncultured bacterium. Its description in RNAcentral is "partial 16S ribosomal RNA". It matches the Rfam family "Bacterial small subunit ribosomal RNA", at positions 28 to 507 of the family's 1533-position model. The record is from RNAcentral.
GAUGAACGCUGGCGGCGUGCCUAAUACAUGCAAGUCGAGCGAACGGACGAGAAGCUUGCUUCUCUGAUGUUAGCGGCGGACGGGUGAGUAACACGUGGAUGACCUACCUAUAAGACUGGGAUAACUUCGGGAAACCGGAGCUAAUACCGGAUAAUAUUUUGAACCGCAUGGUUCAAAAGUGAAAGACGGUCUUGCUGUCACUUAUAGAUGGAUCCGCGCUGCAUUAGCUAGUUGGUAAGGUAACGGCUUACCAAGGCAACGAUGCAUAGCCGACCUGAGAGGGUGAUCGGCCACACUGGAACUGAGACACGGUCCAGACUCCUACGGGAGGCAGCAGUAGGGAAUCUUCCGCAAUGGGCGAAAGCCUGACGGAGCAACGCCGCGUGAGUGAUGAGGGUCUUCGGAUCGUAAAACUCUGUUAUUAGGGAAGAACAUAUGUGUAAGUAACUGUGCACAUCUUGACGGUACCUAAUCAGAAAGCCACGGCUAACUACGUG